Pelobates cultripes (western spadefoot toad) is the source of this 107-nucleotide non-coding RNA. The record is from the annotation of a GenBank genome assembly. Lineage: Eukaryota; Metazoa; Chordata; Amphibia; Anura; Pelobatidae.
GUGUGUAUGUCUGUGUGUGUGUAUGUGUCAGUAUGUCUGUGUGUGUAUGUCAGUAUGUCUGUCAUAGACACACACAGACAUACUGACAUACAUACACAAACAGACAU